Molecule: ribosomal RNA, 468 nt
Filed under: uncultured bacterium
Lineage: Bacteria
Description: partial 16S ribosomal RNA
Rfam family: Bacterial small subunit ribosomal RNA
Source: RNAcentral
GAUGAACGCUGGCGGCGUGCUUAACACAUGCAAGUCGAACGGUGAAGGCGGAGCUUGCUCUGCUGGAUCAGUGGCGAACGGGUGAGUAACACGUGAGCAAUCUGCCCCUGACUCUGGGAUAAGCGCUGGAAACGGCGUCUAAUACUGGAUACGAGCUGCGAAGGCAUCUUCAGCAGCUGGAAAGAACUUCGGUCAGGGAUGAGCUCGCGGCCUAUCAGCUUGUUGGUGAGGUAACGGCUCACCAAGGCGUCGACGGGUAGCCGGCCUGAGAGGGUGACCGGCCACACUGGGACUGAGACACGGCCCAGACUCCUACGGGAGGCAGCAGUGGGGAAUAUUGCACAAUGGGCGAAAGCCUGAUGCAGCAACGCCGCGUGAGGGACGACGGCCUUCGGGUUGUAAACCUCUUUUAGCAGGGAAGAAGCGAAAGUGACGGUACCUGCAGAAAAAGCGCCGUCUAACUACGUG